AGUGAACGCUGGCGGUAGGCCUAACACAUGCAAGUCGAACGGCAGCACAGUAAGAGCUUGCUCGUACGGGUGGCGAGUGGCGGACGGGUGAGGGAUACAUCGGAAUCUACUUUUUCGUGGGGGAUAACGUAGGGAAACUAACGCUAAUACCUCAUACGACCUACGGGUGAAAGCAGGGGAUCUUCGGACCUUGCGCGAUUGAAUGAGCCGAUAUCGGAUUAGCUAGUUGGCGGGGUAAAGGCCCACCAAGGCGACGAUCCGUAGCUGGUCUGAGAGGGUGAUCGGGCACACUGGAACUGAGACACGGUCCAGACUCCUACGGGAGGCAGCAGUGGGGAAUAUUGGACAAUGGGCGCAAGCCUGAUCCAGCCAUACCGCGUGGGUGAAGAAGGCCUUCGGGUUGUAAAGCCCUUUUGUUGGGAAAGAAAAGCAGCAGGUUAAUACCCCGCUGUUCUGACGGUACCCAAAGAAUAAGCACCGGCUAACUUCGUG
RNAcentral lists this ribosomal RNA (492 nucleotides) under uncultured bacterium. Its description in RNAcentral is "partial 16S ribosomal RNA". It matches the Rfam family "Bacterial small subunit ribosomal RNA", at positions 29 to 507 of the family's 1533-position model. The record is from RNAcentral.